Molecule: ribosomal RNA, 188 nt
Filed under: uncultured bacterium
Lineage: Bacteria
Description: partial 16S ribosomal RNA
Rfam family: Bacterial small subunit ribosomal RNA
Source: RNAcentral
UAAGCGAGAUGUGAAAUCCCUGGGCUCAACUUCGGUACUGCAUUUGGAACUGGCAGGCUAGAGUGCAGGAGAGGAAAGCGGAAUUCCUAGUGUAGCGGUGAAAUGCGUAGAUAUUAGGAGGAACACCAGUGGCGAAGGCGGCUUACUGGACGAUGACUGACGUUGAGGCUCGAAAGCGUGGGGAGCAA